AUAUUAGAAACAAAAAUCCAAGGGCAGCAACACCCAUCAUUUUUACCAAAAAGAUGCUAUAUCCUGUCACUAAAGCAACUCAUCGGUUUUAUCAUACACAAUCACAGCGUCGACUUACAGUCGACGACAGUACAUCUUAUUGCAGAAACUUAACUCAUAAAAGUAGCCUUGAAGCUCAAGAACAUGUAAUAAAUAUUCUGAACAAGAACCUGGACGAUCAACUUCAUUCCAAAUGCUGUGUAACAACGAAUCUAAUGUUGUGCCCACUGUAUACUCUUUAUAUCAAUUCCCUCUUUAACCAUUUCAUAGAGUGGGCUCAUUUCCCUUAAUUUCUCAACCUGCUUGACUGUAAGAUCUACAGCACGAUCAAUUUCUUGCUCAGUACUAAACCUCCCAAUUCCAUAUCGAAUCGACGUAUGGGCCAUAUCUUCUUCAACACCCAACGCCCUCAACACGUAGGAGGGCUCCAAACUUGCACUGGUACACGCACUUCCACUCGACACUGCAACCUCCUUCAGACCCAUCAACAAGCUCUCACCUUCCACAUAUGCAAAGGAUAAGUUCAAAUUCCCAGCAUAUCGCCUUUCAACACUUCCAUUUAUAACAACCCCAUCAAUCUUAGACCUUAUACCAUUCAGCAACCUCUCCUGCAAAGCUUUAAUCCUCUGCUCGUCAUAUUCCAUUUCCUUCAUUGCAAGUUCACAAGCUGCCCCAAACCCUACCACUAGCGGAGUAGGUACUGUCCCACUCCUAAUCCCUCUUUCUUGUCCACCCCCAUUCAUCUGGGGCUCAACCCUAAUUCUUGGCCUACGCCUCAUAUACAAAGCGCCAACACCUUUUGGCCCAUAAAUUUUAUGCCCACUUAACGACAUCAAACUUAUGUUCAUCUUCUCCACAUCAAUUGGAACCUUUCCCAACGCUUGUGCAGCAUCAGUAUGAAAAGGAACAUUAAAUUCCUUGCAAAUUUUCCCAAUUUCCUCCAUAGGCUGAAUAACACCAAUUUCAUUGUUCACCAUCAUAACUGAUACCAAGCCCGUAUCAGGCCUUAUUGCAGCCCGAAGCUUCUCCAGGUCAACAAGUCCAUCAGACUCAACGGGAAGGUAAGUUACAUCGAAGCCCUCUUGCUGUAAGUGACGGCAAGAAUCCAGAACGCAUUUGUGCUCCGUUUGAGUAGUAAUAACAUGUCGCUUCUUAUCUUUAUAGAAGUGCAGAACUCCCUUGACGGAGAUGUUAUUGGACUCAGUAGCACCUGAGGUGAAAAUUAUCUCCUUUGGAGAAGCUUUAACUAGGGUCGCGACUUGGGCUCGGGCCGCCUCAACUGCCUGAUCUGAUUCCCACCCGUAAUAGUGAGUUCGGGAAUGAGGAUUUCCGUAACGGGAGAUAUGAUAAGGAAGCAUAGCGUCAAGAACCCUAGGAUCCAUCGGAGAAGUUGCCUGCAUAUCUAGGUAUAGAGGUCUGCCGGAUAUUUUUACACCUUUCAUAGUAAUACCCGUAGUAUCCUCUUCAUACGGUUCUCCAACCGCCGCUGCCGCUGUGGAGAAAAGGCGGAGACGGCGUGUGCCAUGGCAGGGUUUAGGCACCGUGCGCCGCAACGCUGUCGUUAGAAACUUCGAAAACAUGAUUUCAAAGUUUCUAACGACAGCGUUG
RNAcentral lists this unclassified non-coding RNA (1647 nucleotides) under Hevea brasiliensis (rubber tree). Lineage: Eukaryota; Viridiplantae; Streptophyta; Magnoliopsida; Malpighiales; Euphorbiaceae. The record is from RNAcentral.